Molecule: transfer RNA, 77 nt
Filed under: Bacillota bacterium
Lineage: Bacteria; Bacillati; Bacillota
Description: Firmicutes bacterium (anaerobic digester metagenome) tRNA-Pro
Rfam family: tRNA
About the family: Transfer RNA (tRNA) molecules are approximately 80 nucleotides in length. Their secondary structure includes four short double-helical elements and three loops (D, anti-codon, and T loops).
Source: RNAcentral
CGGGGCGUGGCGCAGUUUGGUAGCGCACAUGGUUUGGGACCAUGGGGUCGUAGGUUCAAAUCCUAUCGCCCCGACCA